UACGGAGGGUGCGAGCGUUGUCCGGAAUCAUUGGGCGUAAAGGGCGCGUAGGUGGCGGGACAAGCGUGCGGUGAAAGCUCGGGGCUCAACCCCGCGUCGGCCGUGCGAACUGUUUUGCUUGAGCACUGUAGAGGCAGGCGGAAUUCCGGGUGUAGCGGUGGAAUGCGUAGAGAUCCGGAAGAACACCGGUGGCGAAGGGCGGCCUGCUGGGCAGUAGCUGACACUGAGGCGCGACAGCGUGGGGAGCAAACAGG
This 254-nucleotide ribosomal RNA is filed under the name uncultured bacterium. Its description in RNAcentral is "partial 16S ribosomal RNA". It matches the Rfam family "Bacterial small subunit ribosomal RNA", at positions 524 to 776 of the family's 1533-position model. The record is from RNAcentral.